UACAGAGGGGGCAAGCGUUGUUCGGAAUUACUGGGCGUAAAGGGCGCGUAGGCGGCCUGCUAAGUCGAACGUGAAAUCCCUGGGCUUAACCCAGGAACUGCGUCCGAUACUGGCAGGCUUGAAUCCGGGAGAGGGAUGCGGAAUUCCAGGUGUAGCGGUGAAAUGCGUAGAUAUCUGGAGGAACACCGGUGGCGAAGGCGGCAUCCUGGACCGGCAUUGACGCUGAGGCGCGGAAGCCAGGGGAGCAAACGGG
This 253-nucleotide ribosomal RNA is filed under the name uncultured bacterium. RNAcentral describes it as "partial 16S ribosomal RNA". It matches the Rfam family "Bacterial small subunit ribosomal RNA", at positions 524 to 776 of the family's 1533-position model. The record is from RNAcentral.